AGCUUGUCUGAAGGCUAGUGAGUUAACUCAAUAGAUUAUUCACAGUUACAUAUUGAACUCCUUAUUCUAGUCUUUCCUCCCUUCUUACUACUACACUUGACUAACCUAGU
Unclassified non-coding RNA from Aotus nancymaae (Ma's night monkey), 110 nucleotides. It matches the Rfam family "Y RNA". Rfam says of the family: Y RNAs are components of the Ro ribonucleoprotein particle (Ro RNP), in association with Ro60 and La proteins. The Y RNAs and Ro60 and La proteins are well conserved, but the function of the Ro RNP is not known. Lineage: Eukaryota; Metazoa; Chordata; Mammalia; Primates; Aotidae. The record is from Ensembl.